UCCCUGGCGGUCCAGUGGUUAGGACUCGGCACUUGCACUGCCGUGGGCCUGGGUUCAACCCCUUGUCAGGGAA
Molecule: non-coding RNA, 73 nt
Organism: Kogia breviceps (pygmy sperm whale)
Lineage: Eukaryota; Metazoa; Chordata; Mammalia; Artiodactyla; Physeteridae
Source: the annotation of a RefSeq genome assembly